RNAcentral lists this unclassified non-coding RNA (315 nucleotides) under Hevea brasiliensis (rubber tree). Lineage: Eukaryota; Viridiplantae; Streptophyta; Magnoliopsida; Malpighiales; Euphorbiaceae. The record is from RNAcentral.
GCUUCAUUUUCAUUCCUAUCUAUGGAGUUCGAAUAUAUAAUUUCAAUGUCUAUGUGUUGGAGUUGGAGAUGAGCAGCAGCCAAAUUAAAAGGGGUCCCCAUUUGGGCACUUGUAGAGGGAGACCUUGUAGCAGAGUAGUACUGCUGCCGGCCCACUUCUUCUUUGCCUAUGUCUUCAGUUAGUUAUGCUGUGUUUUGUCUAUUUCUUAUUGAUUAGUGCCCUCUACGAGUAUUUGUAGGGACUUUGUUCCUCCUUUUGCCCUCAUGGUAGAUCUCUUUCAGAUCUACAUCAAGAGGUUUUCUGCUUCAUUUUUUU